UACGUAGGGUGCAAGCGUUGUCCGGAAUUAUUGGGCGUAAAGAGCUCGUAGGCGGUUUGUUGCGUCGGCUGUGAAAUCCCGAGGCUCAACCUCGGGUCUGCAGUCGAUACGAGCAAACUAGAGUGUUGCAGGGGAGAACGGAAUUCCUGGUGUAGCGGUGAAAUGCGCAGAUAUCAGGAGGAACACCGGUGGCGAAGGCGGUUCUCUGGGCAUUACCUGACGCUGAGGAGCGAAAGUGUGGGGAGCGAACAGG
RNAcentral lists this ribosomal RNA (253 nucleotides) under uncultured bacterium. RNAcentral's name for it is "partial 16S ribosomal RNA". It matches the Rfam family "Bacterial small subunit ribosomal RNA", at positions 524 to 776 of the family's 1533-position model. The record is from RNAcentral.